This 293-nucleotide ribosomal RNA is filed under the name uncultured bacterium. Its description in RNAcentral is "partial 16S ribosomal RNA". It matches the Rfam family "Archaeal small subunit ribosomal RNA", at positions 455 to 747 of the family's 1478-position model. The record is from RNAcentral.
GUGCCAGCCGCCGCGGUAAUACUAGCUGUCCAAGUCGCAGCCAUUUUUAUUGGGUCUAAAACAUCCGUAGCUUGCUUUGUAAGUUCUUUGUGAAAUUCUAUAUCUCAAGUAUAGAGCGUGCAAGGAAUACUGCAGGGCUAGAGACUGGAAGACGUAAGAAGUACGUUUGAAGUAGCGGUUAAAUGCGUUAAUCUCAGACGGACUCACAACAGCGAAGGCAUCUUACGAGGACAGUUCUGACAGUGAGGGAUGAAGACCAGGGGCGCAAAACGGAUUAGAUACCCGCGUAGUCC